ACUUCGAAGGUGAAGGUGGGGGGUGAGAAGCAGGUGGAGAAGUAGCAAUAGGAGGUUGGGGUGCAUUAUCAGGAGGCUUGGAUGCUGGUGGUGGAGGUGAAUUUUCAGGAGGAUCUGAUGCCGGUGGUGGAGGUGAAUUCAACGGUGGAGGUGAAUCUUGAGGAGGAAUAGAUGCAGGUGGUGGAGGUGAAGUUUCUGGCGGUUGUGAUGAUGAUGGUGGUGGUGGUGAAGGUGGACUUCUAGGGGGGUUUGAUGGCGGUGGUGGAGGCGAAUUAGCUGGUGGAUUGGAUGUUGGUGGAGGUGGUGAAGUUGAUGAAUUAGAUGGUGGUGGUGAUGAUAAUGUUGGUGGUGGUGGAGAAUUGGAUGUUGG
This 370-nucleotide long non-coding RNA is filed under the name Carica papaya (papaya). RNAcentral describes it as "long non-coding RNA (CPAP_LNC012874)". Lineage: Eukaryota; Viridiplantae; Streptophyta; Magnoliopsida; Brassicales; Caricaceae. The record is from RNAcentral.